Molecule: long non-coding RNA, 6262 nt
Organism: Bombus terrestris (buff-tailed bumblebee)
Lineage: Eukaryota; Metazoa; Arthropoda; Insecta; Hymenoptera; Apidae
Exons: 3
Source: RefSeq, a predicted model, not a curated record
UAAAAUAUUCGCCCGCGCAGUACGCAACGAAAGGCAAUCGUAUUUUACUCAUAGACUGAAUUACGAAACUAAUAAUCGAUCGGAAUGCGCUUCUUUCGUUCGUUUCAUACAGCCAAUCGUCGUACGAUUUUUAUUCGUGCAAAUAGCAUUUUGGGAGUUACAUUCCACAAGCUCGUUACGUAUCGAUAAAUAACAGCGUGUGCAUAAGAAAUCGAUGUACGUCGAUACUAGGAACGUAUCUCGACCCAUAUAACGUGUUCGACUAUCGACAUUCCAGUUAGCAGAAACGUAACGUCGAGUCUGCUUCUUGGAAAGGAGAAAAUAAGGAAGCUAGCAGAAAAAUUCGUUACGGUUAAGCGCUAAUCGCACGUGAAUACGUCGAAUUUUAACCGCAACUGGCAUGCUUACAAUUAAAAUGCGAUUUAAAGCGAGCAAUUUUUUAGAACACUCUUAUCUGUGUCGGGUCGUUUGAAACAUUGCUUAAACGAUGAGAAAUUUUCCGUUGUUAACAAGAAAAUAUUACGUUAAACUGUCUCGCUGUGAUUCACGAUUGAGCGGUCGUGCGAAUGUCUAUGUCAAGAAAAAGAAAGAAAGGAAAAAGAAAAGAAAGAAAGAACCGUAAGUCCACCGAUCAGGGACCAUGGAUGUCCAUGGACUCCUGCCCGAUUCCCAUCUCCCCAUGCUCCUUGGAAACAAGGAACAAACUGUAGCAUCGGACAGCGAAGGCUCCCACUUGUGGGAACCAUCGUGCACCAUGCCGUGCUCUCUGGACCACGAAGUGAAAGGUCUGACUCGGAGUUAACUGACUGACUCGCAGUGUAUUUGAAGUGUACGGCCUGUGUGCAAGGUGAUGUAUCUCUACCGACUCUCUUACAGGAGGGCCGCACGAGAAACGGACGCACACGCACGCAAGUCGCGAGUUGCACGAUGUACGGAUACACGGAGAUCCGCGGUUCUAUUCCAGUAUACAUCGUACAUUCGUCUUACAUGUGUAUAUAUGUGUGUAUAUAUACAUAUACAUGUGUAUGUACUUUACGUGCAUACGUAUCUAUGUACAUACGAGACGUUACGACCGCCAUGGUAAUCGGCCAUAAACCGCGAAACUAUCUCUACAUACGCGUCGAGAUGCUUGCAUCUGCCAUCCUGCACCUGCACUCGAUCUUUGUUUAUUGGAAUCGUCGUGUUUUCUUGGAUACCGGCAGAAGCGGAACGUAAGAAAGGAGUUUGCGCCUCUUCGUCUGCACAGUCAGGGAACAAAGCGUUUCAUUGUCCUCCGCGUUAGGUUCGCGUAUACGGAUCGAGGCGGAUCGUCGGGAUUGAAAGUCGUUCGGCGGACUCGCUGGUUAGAAAUUUUCAUUACUUCGAUCGCUACUGUAAUUUUACUCGUUCUCUGCCGGCUGCAAGUUCUGACUGUUCUAUUCGAAAGCUAUACGUUGCUGGAUAGGAAAUCGCGUGACUCGGAAGGAAUAACGUUCAGACCGGAUAAUUCGUACUACUUGCUUGUAAAGAAUAUCGACGUUAUCGGUUGCUGUCUCUUCUAAUUUCGAUACUCUAUGCCAUCAUAGUCAGACGUCUAUCUAUUAAAGUAUCGACGAAAAUUUAUGAUCAUCGAUGUCCUGUUUCGUCGUUUAUUUUUUCUCCUAUACAAAUUAUGCAGAAGCUCGGGGAAAAGAGUGGACUCUAUGGACAAGAACGAGGACGGUAAAGUCGAGCACCCGUCCUUCGGAAACGUCUCAACAUCUUUCCCGGCGGCCUUCAUUUCGCAUUUAAUCCUGGAACUACCCUCGCGUAUUUCGUAGUGAGCGGAGCGCAAAAUACGCGAAAGACCAAAGACAACGCCCUUAGGUACUUAUAUACGAUGUUGGUGGUAAAGAUGAGACGUAAGAAGCGAGGGGGUUGGGAGUGCUCGAAGGUGGAACGAGGAGAAUGGAGAUGAGUAUGGGGUGGGGGCUGGGUUGGCUAGGUAUGUAUAAGCAGAAGAAAGCGCGGGUCGAUUAAAAGUAGCGAGGGUGUUUCUCCUCUCGUUACCGGAGAGCGAGCAAGCGGUAGCGGGACAGGGAUGGAAAGAUGGAGAAAGACGGAAAAGGAUGAAAGCCGGUCGAAAGUCGAAGAAAGAUGGAUAGACCGGGAGAAGGUUAGCGUAAAGAAAGAAAGAGAGAAAGUGUGUAAGUGAGAAAGGGAGAGAAGUUGGAACGGCGGAAGAAGGUGGGCAGUGGUGUAAGACGAGGAGAGGGAUAAAGCAAGAGAGAGAGAGAGAGAGUGAGUAAGAGCAAGGAAGAACAGAGGAGGAAGAAGAAAAGGGCUAUAAAGCAAAUGCGACGAACAGAGACAGGAAUGUAGUUCUGAUCCGGAGGGGUUCGUAAAACGCCGCGCCGCCUACGUUGGAUCGCGAGGGGAGGACAGGGAAGAGAAGACUCAAGAAUCUCAACCUUUAUUUGGAUUUAAGUAAGGAAAAGGGUUGUAAGAUGUGUCGGAUCUGGUGGAUUCGGGGCCAGCCAGGACGAAAAGGAAGGGAAAUUUCACGAUGGCGUGGCGCAUACGGAAGAAGCUCGAGCAGAGUCACGGCGUACAACGAAGGGACGAAUCGAUAAGACACCAGCGUGCAAACCACGUCCGGAACUGGUCACAUCAAGUUGAACGCUCUACUGUCCAUAAUUCCCCGCAAUUCAGCGUGAGAGGAACUCGCGGUAGGACCAAGCACCUAAAUGAAGCCGUGUGCUUCUAACGACAUGCACUCCGAGGAGGAAGGAAAGACGGGAUUCUGUUGGUAAAAGGGAUGCACCACGUACCGUCUGCGUUGCACUGCCACCGACCUCGAGAAUAUUUACUAAUUCCCGUUGCGUAGCGAGAUAACGUUGGAAGGAGAGCGGAGGAGAAGAGUCGGUUGUCGUAGGACGUCGAGCGGACUAGGAAAGAGAUGGCCAACGGUAGGUCCAGAAAACGGCAGAAGCGGAAGAAAAAGGCAAGGAAACGGAGGAAGACGAGAAAGAGGCAGGACAAUGGUAUAGAGAUAGCGCGCGGGAAAGAAGGAGAAAGGCAGUGGUGUACGCAAAACGAGAAAGAAUCGCGGUAAGACAUCUGUAGAGAGAAAGAGCGGACAGAGAAAAACACGGGAAAGAGAAACGAGAUAGAACGAUUUUCCCUCUACUCCGGAGAGGCAACGACUACCAAUUCCCUUAUACCCACCAGCCACCAACCCACCACCCUCGAAAAGAGUAUUUAAAGUGACGUCACGCGGUGAGGGGCGGGGGAGGUGAGGAAGAAGAGGAAGAAGAGGAAGAAGAGGAGGAGGAGAAGGAGGAGGAGAAGGAGGAGGAGGAGGAAGAAGAAGAAGAGGCGGAGGAGAGUCAAGGGGGAAGGGGUUGUUCGGGCAACAGGAAAGAGAGAAAGAGUAAACUGGCGAAAGAGAAAGGGGGAGGACAGGGAGAUGCUUUAAGACGCUCAAUAUAAAUACUAGAGGGGGUUGAGAAAAAGGGUUGCUUCCCUUCGGGCCGACGACGCCGGCCGAAGCGUGUACGCUCAAGAAGAGCGUGAAAGAAAGACAGCGGAGCAAGGACCAUCCAACAGAGAGGGACGGUGUACAUCGUGGAAGAAGAAAGCGUUUAGCUGGGCGGAGAAAAGAGUGAGAAGCAUCGACGAGGGAAAAAAGCGGUGCCCCGUGCGAUAUUUUCGGUGGAAGUGUACGCAUAGUAGCGGAGGUGGAGAAGGACGAGGAGGAUGAAGAGAGAAGGAGGAGAGGCAAAAAAAUUCAUGUCAUACUCGAGUGGUUUACUCGAGCCGAAUGCUCGGCGAAUUUUACUGCGCUCUACUGGGCUCUACUGGGCUCUGCCGGGCUCCGCUUCGCUAGAACAAGGAAGGUCUUGGUUAAAUCCAAAAGCGACUAGCACGCUCCUACUGGCCGCACCAAAGCGAGCGUAUUGCGGCACCAACAGUCAGAAACGCCGCUCUACCAGACUGCACAGAUCGCUGCAUUAAUGCCAUUCUUCCCAGCCUCGUUCACAUUUUUCCUUGCUUCCUUUCUUUCUCCUGUUUUCGUUUUGUUUCCCGUCUCCCAUUUCCCUUCCUUUUUCCCUCAUCUCCGUGGCCGUGUUCUCCUUAUUUUUUCCCUCGCGAAUCGAACUAACCGUAAUACAAAAAAUUACACGUAAAUAUCGCCCGCCGGGACGAUAACGAAAGCGCGAUGCGACGCUGUGCUCGACUAAUGAAAAGAUCAGAAGCAGUCGUCGCUGUCGACAUUCUGCACGAUCGCCUUGAUUUUCAGGAUUAUGGAUGAGGCAUGCUGUUCAUUGACUAAACGAUCGUCUUUGUGCUCGUCUCAUAGUCGUUUCAUUGGACGACACGAUUCGAUUUCUAGAAAUAACCUAUCGUUUGUAAAAAUCUUGUUAUCAAGGUAAUCGGUAGCAAAGGCAAACGAUAUAGCGCUAACGAAUCAACGAUUUGAUUACAGUGGCAUAAAUACAUUUGUUUCGGAGAAAAAUAAACGAUAUCUUGUUCGUGUUAUAAUAAUGUUAUAAUACACAUCCUCAUUAUACGUCGCAUUCGCUACGUUUCUUGUCCUUAUUCGUAUAUAACAUAUAUAGAUAUUUGCAUAUAUAUAUUUCAUUGUUAACAUAGCCUGGUCAACGUCCGGCAGAUUUUCAUCGGUGGAACGUAUCGGUCGAUAGUAGCGAACGUGGCGCAGAAAAUUAGGCGAAACAAGCCUGUUGUAAGUCCUGUCGAAGAUUUUGAUAAUACCGAUGGCGGUUUGGUGAAUUCGGAAGCGUUGACCUGGCUGCGAAGCGAGGCUUUCCGGCUGAUCACCCGGUAUGGACACACUUGCGCGCAUCUAACACACGGUUCAAGAACCACGGGGAGAUCGAGUCCGUAUGAGAGUACACCACGAUACAUUCGGGGAUGGAAGAGGGUGAAACGAGGAACGAGCAGAUAGAAGCAGAUACCGAUAGAGGGAUAAAGAGGGAGCCGGAGAAACGGAGAAACGGAGAAGGAGAAAGGGGUCUGCGCGAUGGGAUGGAUGCUACACAGUACGCGGACGGUCUUAGCGGUAUCUUGGCUGCCUCGCUGUCCUGGGGGCGAGCGGCUAAAUACCUCAGGAUUGUUACUAUUGCCACCCCUUUGCACCCUCUCCUCCUUCGCCCAACGGGCCACCCACCUCACCCCUUUUGAUACGAUGGAAUGGGUUAAUGCUAUUGAUUCACGUGCACAAGGUGCUUGGGUAGAAGCGGCACCGACGGCCGCCACUGUUUGACAGUAACGGAUCUCCCCUUGUCGCUCUCUCUCCCUCUCUGCUUCUCCGCUUCUCCGCUUCUCCGUCGUCGACCAUCUUUCGUCUCUUGCGUUCUACGUCCUACGAGAUACCUAGACGAACGCGACCAUCCAGCUGCUUGUACCUUCCGUUGGUGUCUCUCACGGAGUUUGAAAAGUCCGGCUAGGAUGCCACGUUUAAGCGUCCGAUCGAACCCUUUGGAAUGGGAACCGGCCGACACUCUGACUUUUACGUCGGACCUCGCUGCAAAAACUUUCGACUUGCCUCUCUCUCGCUGGUCGAUAACGUAUCGAUCAAAACCAGAGAUCGAGGUGGAUCGCGUAGCCGAAUCCUGCCUACCUUUAAUCAAUCCGGGACACGAUAAUUUGCGAUUACGACGUUUCGUAGAAUUUAAUUUAAUUUUCUGUAUAUAGUACUUGUAUUGUCGUUGUUAACGUUUAGACAGCUAAGUGUCAAUUCCGAAUAAUUUAAUACUAAAUUAUUGUUUCUAGUUAUUAAAAAGUACUUUAGAGUUUGUCAUAGCGCACGAAUUUACGAAUUUACGAAUUUACCAAUAAACAACGUUUAAAUCGUUAAUCAAAGUUUCAAAAUCUGGUUUCAAAGUCAAAGAGACCUGAUAUAUUUUAUAGAACUUUCAGGAGCCGUUAACCUCUCGUAGUUUUCUAUGUUACAGCGUUGAGUCUUGUCGAAGUGGAUUAACAUUCGUCGCAUGAUACAAAAUCGUACAAAUAUUCCCGUACGGCGACCUACCUACCUUCGCCAUCGUGAACGCAGAUAGUUUAUAUUAUUGAUCUUUAUGCGCAUGAUAUUUGAACAUAAACGGUGAUGACGUCUCUAGUAUUCCAACCAAUGAAUCGCCCUCUCUUGGAUACACGCUAGGUGUACAUGGAAAUUAGUCGAAUUUCCAAAUAGAAGUAAGAAAAACGAAGACUUAACCGAUCGAGUCGGCCGUAUAGUUUCGUUUAAGCUUAGUCGGAACAUUCAGAAGACUCGUAGGAU